Molecule: ribosomal RNA, 430 nt
Filed under: Coptotermes sjoestedti
Lineage: Eukaryota; Metazoa; Arthropoda; Insecta; Blattodea; Rhinotermitidae
Description: partial large subunit ribosomal RNA
Rfam family: Bacterial large subunit ribosomal RNA (bases 1-175)
Source: RNAcentral
CGCCUGUUUAUCAAAAACAUCUUUUCUUGUUAGUUUUUGAAGUAUGGCCUGCCCGCUGACUUGAGUGUUGAAGGGCCGCGGUAUUUUGACCGUGCAAAGGUAGCAUAAUCAUUAGUUCUUUAAUUGUGAUCUGGAAUGAAUGGCUUGACGAGGCACCGGCUGUCUUAGUGAUGAAUGUUAUAUUGAAUUUGGUCUUUGAGUUAUAAUUCUUAUAUGUUUUUGUGGGACGAGAAGACCCUAUAGAGUUUUACCUUUGGUUUGUUUAUUUCUUUGUUGUUUGUUUUGUUUUUGGUAAGCGGGCUAUUUGUUUUGUUGCGGUGAUGAGACCAAUAUAAUUUAACUCCUCUUGGUUUUGGUUAUAUUGAUUUGUAUUUAUUUGAUCCAUUUAUUUUGUUUAUAAGAUUAAAUUUCCUUAGGGAUAACAGCGUAA